RNAcentral lists this ribosomal RNA (252 nucleotides) under uncultured bacterium. RNAcentral describes it as "partial 16S ribosomal RNA". It matches the Rfam family "Bacterial small subunit ribosomal RNA", at positions 524 to 776 of the family's 1533-position model. The record is from RNAcentral.
UACGAAGGGUGCAAGCGUUACUCGGAAUCACUGGGCGUAAAGGGCGCGUAGGCGGACUCUUAAGUCGGGGUGAAAGCCCAGGGCUCAACCCUGGAAUUGCCUUCGAUACUGGGAGUCUUGAGUUCGGAAGAGGUUGGUGGAACUGCGAGUGUAGAGGUGAAAUUCGUAGAUAUUCGCAAGAACACCAGUGGCGAAGGCGGCCAACGUGGCCCGGUACUGACGCUGAGGUGCGAAAGCGUGGGAGCAACAGGG